This is a long non-coding RNA of Coregonus clupeaformis (lake whitefish), 3430 nucleotides long. RefSeq lists it as uncharacterized. The transcript is spliced from 3 exons. The record is from RefSeq and is a predicted model, not a curated record. Lineage: Eukaryota; Metazoa; Chordata; Actinopteri; Salmoniformes; Salmonidae.
UUCCAAAGUCAGAUCCCUGCUGGAACAUUUCAGCCCGCCUGCCACGUCAGUUUGCUUCCACCAUCCUCCCUCCCUCGCUCCUCUCUCUCUCUCAUGCACUUUCUCCUUCUUUCGCUCCAUUCCGCCUCAGAGGACUGGUAGAAACUGAACGGUACCAGUUGGUUUUAGGUGUAGUCAGAGUUACUGGUUAAAGGUUUGUCUUUAGCUCUGGUCAGCGAUCGGCGGUAUCUUUUGAAGCUCUUUUCGUUUCGCUGGGAGAGAGAGGGGACAUCUUUGCCAAAGCCUGGGCUGCUCUGAGCGAACCAAUGGGCACUGACCUGCAGCCGGAGUGACCCCGCGGGCCUUCCCCCCCGCCCUCACCCCUCCUCACCUCCCCGCCUGCCCAGUGUUCAGACUACCUGUUCAUCAGGCUGCAGCUGAACAGUAGUCUGCACAUUGGUUAGGCUGGGCCGGGACACACACACACAGGACACAUCUAACCACCGGCCGGCAGGGGCUCUGGAUAGUGACUCUGCGGUCAGGAUGAACCAGUACUCCUUGGAGCCUCCUUUCAUGAUGCUGAUGUUGAUGGUGAGCCAGCCUUUACGGAUCACCUGUUAGGGGAGAGAUAAGGGUGGGGGGGUACAAGGUAUACCAGGAAGAUGGAGGGAAAACACAUUUGUCAUUAAAGUAUUAAUGAGUUUGCCUCCUGGAGAUAUUGUGAUAUGACUAAGUUAACUAAUAAAAAUAUUCCCUGGGUACUAAGUGUGAGUUUUGAUUUCUCCGGUCUUAGCAAUAUAAGCACUAAGAUGUUCUACUUACUCUAAAUAAACUAUUCUAUUCUGAGUAUAAAGAUUUACCACUAAAACAAUGUUUCUGAACCUAUAUCACUGAUGUAUAUAGUAAGCAUACAAAAGCAUCAUUCAGAAAGGAGAAUUAACUGGAGUUUUACACAUUUUAAAACAGGAAACCUCAAACUUAAUAACCUCAAAACAAACAAACAAAUAAAUAUGGGGGCAUCCAGACCAAAUGGGCCCCACAUGGGAUCAGGGAUCAAAGGUCGGCGGUGUUAUGUUAGGGUAAGCAGGGUCAGUAAAAGCUAGCCUAUACAAGGUUAGCCAAAAAGACUAGGGUUAGUGGGUUAACUGGGCAGAGGACUCGGACAUACACUCCAGUGUAGGGCCUGUAGGAGGCUAAAUACCUAUCUAAGGAACAGGAGAAAGGGACGGGAGAGGCAAGAGGAGGAGGGCGAGAGUGUGGGAGAGGAAUACAGCGAUAUGCAGAGACAGUGGAGACGGGUAGACUGAGCCACAGCUCACGGAGCGGACGGGUAGAGAGAGGGGGGAUGAAAAAAAUAAAAUGAGGAUUUAAAGAAGGGAGAGGGAGGAAAAAGAGAUGAGAGGCAGGGAUGAGAGGUUCUUUCUGUAGACAAGAGUUUAUUAGAGCAGAGGUCUUCAACCUUUUCAUGCCCAGGGACCCCCCUCGCAGACAAACCGGCAACCCAGGGACCCCCAUCAUACAUUAGCAAACAUUAUUUUCACGUCUUGUUUAUCAGGUGAAUGAUAAUGUCAAGAAGUAGUAAUGGUGAUGUCUAGGAGAAGUAAUAACAUUUUUAAAUGAAUAGAUUUGAUAAAUAGUUUUUCAUUAUUUUGACCUCCACACAUUAUAACUGGAAGAGGAAGUGUAAACUCUAACAUAGCCUAUUAGCUAGAAAGCUAACUCCAAAUACAUUUUUGCUAAGAACAACUGUUUAGCUGGUUAAACAAAUGUUAGCCAUGUGUUGCCAAAAAUGUAUGUCCUUGUCAAGAAAGCUUACCAGCAGCACUUGCCGCAUUGGUAGCCUAAUCGUGGGUGCUUUUUCAAAGCCUAUGUCAGAUACUCCAGUGAGCGCAAUUGGCUCCAAUGAGUGUAAUUUGCUCAAUAUUAGGAGUUGAGAAAUAAAGUUGACAUAAUUAGAAAGAUACUCUUAUUUUCAACUGUAUGUAAUUCAACAUUUGUUUAUUCUGUUGUUGCUAGUGAUAUUCAUAAAAACAUUUAAAUAAAAAGCACUUUUUAUUUUUUGGGGGACCCCGUGCAGUACGUUGGACACCUAAGGGGCUGCGGACCCCCGGUUGUAGUAGGCCUUAUUAGAGUACUGCUCUUAUUGUUAGUGCCAUUUCAUAGAACCAUCAGGGGCAGCAGAUAUCAAGCUUUGACAAGAAUUCUGUCAAUUUAUGCCGAUAAAACAGAGAACAUCUCAACCUCUCUCUCCCUCUUUUUCCUGUGUCAAAACGGCUGGUGUGGGUUUAUGGGGGUGGGGUCAUUAGUAGGAAAGUGACAAAAGAAACAAGAGAGAAAGAGGCUGUAACAUAGGAGUUUGUUAAAUUCUCAGUUUGCCUUGGCGAGGAAUUCUCUUAAACCCCUCUGAAAUGAUUUAAAAAUAAAAAUAUAAAUAAAUAACCUGGCUGGCAGUCAGUGGUAAGUGUUCAAGGUGAGAGACAGACAAGAGGAGUGUGAGGUGACAGAAAAGGGAUAGUGAGACGCUUUUAAUGUUAUGACACUUCUUACCGCACUGUCUAAAAAGAAGCCCUGACAUGCAGGAUAGGUCAGUGAUGAUGACAAAAAGAAAAGUAUUUUGCCUGUUCUAUCUUUAGCUGUUGACUACAUCUGAUUUUAAGGUUAUUAUCGCUAUAGAAAAGUUAGGGCACUUGAUGGCAUGAUUGCCUACAUUCCUGUCAAAAGCUUCCCUACAUUGUAACCACUCAUAAUCCAGCAAGCAUUUCAAAAGUAAACACAUUAUUUUAGGUCUUCUCACACAUCUUGUUGUACUACCAGUUGGUAAAUCAAACAUGGAUACAUUAGAUGUACGGAUAUAUAAAGAUUCCAAAUGAUUAUUAAACCCAAUUUAUAUUACUUCAAAAUCAUAUUUGAUCAGUUAUUUCAUGUAAAUUAUAAUCAUUGAUUGAAUCCUGACACCCUCCCUCUGCCCGUCCUCCUCUAGCGCCACCCUGUGGUCCCUGAUUGGAAUGACAAACAGCCCCAGAAGACCUGUGACUGGGUCCCACACAGAAUGGUUUGUGGACAGUUGAGGUGUGCUACUAACAUAUUGUUAUAGUGAUGAUUGGAAUAUUGAGUUGUGAAAAUAUUGAGUGGAAAGUUUACAUGCAACGAUAAGUUAGAGAGAAAACAUCAAGAGGAGAUUUCAAAUGACACCAAAAGGAUCGAAAUGCGGACAUCUAGUGUAUGAUUAUUGGUGAUUCAUGUCUCCUCCCCACCCCUGAGAUGUUCAGGACCAUUCGACGGCAAGGCAAAGUGUGGCGGUCACUAGUUACACCCCUGGACAGGGCAGCAUGGGUAAGGACCAAAAGCAGGAGAACUGACGCCAGCCACUCUCACAUCCUCCCAACUCUUCCAUAGUCUUUCACAGGGAAUCAUAACAUUACACUUCAGUGUGGUACAAGAACGUGAUUAU